GAUAAACGCUGGCGGCGUGCUUAACACAUGCAAGUCGAACGAAGUUUUUCCUUCGGGAGACACUUAGUGGCGGACGGGUGAGUAACGCGUGGGUAACCUGCCCUGUACAGGGGGACAACAGCUGUAAACGGCUGCUAAUACCGCAUAAGCCCUUAGCACUGCAUGGUGCAUAGGGAAAAGGAGCAAUCCGGUACAGGAUGGACCCGCGUCUGAUUAGCCAGUUGGCAGGGUAACGGCCUACCAAAGCGACGAUCAGUAGCCGAUCUGAGAGGAUGUACGGCCACAUUGGGACUGAGACACGGCCCAGACUCCUACGGGAGGCAGCAGUGGGGAAUAUUGCACAAUGGAGGAAACUCUGAUGCAGCGACGCCGCGUGAGUGAAGAAGUAUUUCGGUAUGUAAAGCUCUAUCAGCAGGGAAGAAAAUGAUGGUACCUGACUAAGAAGCACCGGCUAAAUACGUG
RNAcentral lists this ribosomal RNA (462 nucleotides) under uncultured bacterium. RNAcentral's name for it is "partial 16S ribosomal RNA". It matches the Rfam family "Bacterial small subunit ribosomal RNA", at positions 28 to 507 of the family's 1533-position model. The record is from RNAcentral.